UACGUAGGGUGCAGGCGUUAAUCGGAAUUACUGGGCGUAAAGCGUGCGCAGGUGGUUUGCUAAGACAGGUGUGAAAUCCCCGGGCUUAACCUGGGAACUGCGCUUGUUACUGGCAAGCUGGAGUGUGGCAGAGGGGGGUGGAAUUCCACGUGUAGCAGUGAAAUGCGUAGAGAUGUGGAGGAACACCGAUGGCGAAGGCAGCCCCCUGGGCUAACACUGACGCUCAUGCACGAAAGCGUGGGGAGCAAACAGG
Molecule: ribosomal RNA, 253 nt
Filed under: uncultured bacterium
Lineage: Bacteria
Description: partial 16S ribosomal RNA
Rfam family: Bacterial small subunit ribosomal RNA
Source: RNAcentral